Molecule: ribosomal RNA, 253 nt
Filed under: uncultured bacterium
Lineage: Bacteria
Description: partial 16S ribosomal RNA
Rfam family: Bacterial small subunit ribosomal RNA
Source: RNAcentral
UACAGGGGGUGCGAGCGUUGUUCGGAAUUACUGGGCGUAAAGGGCGCGUAGGCGGCUUGAUAAGUCAGACGUGAAAGCCCGGGGCUUAACCCCGGAAGUGCGUUUGAAACUGUUAGGCUUGAGUACAGUAGAGGUUGGUGGAAUUCCCAGUGUAGAGGUGAAAUUCGUAGAUAUUGGGAGGAACACCAGUGGCGAAGGCGGCCAACUGGGCUGUAACUGACGCUGAGGCGCGAAAGCGUGGGUAGCAAACAGG